This 647-nucleotide long non-coding RNA is filed under the name Malus domestica (apple). RNAcentral's name for it is "long non-coding RNA (MDOM_LNC011216)". Lineage: Eukaryota; Viridiplantae; Streptophyta; Magnoliopsida; Rosales; Rosaceae. The record is from RNAcentral.
GAUAUUCUAAGUGGUAUCCGAAUGGUUUUCGGCCAAAUAUCGCGAUAUUAUCGAUAAUAUCGCGAUAUUGGAAAUAUCGGCGAAAUUUUUUUGAGUUUGGUGCAAUCGGACUCCGAGGCGACGUCGGAGAAGAACGCCGGAGACGGUGUGCCUAUUCCCGGGCCGAUUUCGUCCUAAAAACCUUGCAAAAACACGAAUUUUAACAUCAAUUUCACAUAUAAACUUCAGAUUUCACGCAUGCAUAAACGAUUCAACAUAUGUGAAGUCGGUUUAGGGUUUAGGGUUUCAAUGGAAUCUCACCUGACGAAGACGAAGACGAACCAGAUGACUGAACGUGAUCCUUGCUCAGCGGCGCACCGCCAGAGACGACUGAGCCAACUCCGACUUCGCCAGAGCCACGAUCAACGGCGAAGGGAGAAGAGAGAUCGAGAGAUCUGUGUGUGUGUGUGUGUUUGGGAGAAGAGAGAUCGGAGAAAGGAGAAGAGAGAUCGGAGAAUGGAGAAGAGAGAUCUUCGAUCUGUGUGUGUGUGUGUGUGUGUUUGGGAGAAGAGAGAUCUCCGAUCUCUGUAGAUGGAGGGUGUGUGCGUGUGUGUGUGUGUGGAAUGAGGGAGAAGUGUGUGUGUGUUAUCCGAGAGAAAGAAAAAAAU